UUCAGAGGAACCUGCCCUAUAAUUGAUGACCCACGAUUUUAUAAACUUAUUUUAUUAAUUUACAUAUCGCCGUAGAUUGAAUAUUUUAAAAGAAUAAUCAUAUUCAAGAUUUUUUAUAAAAAAAUAAAUCAGGUCAAGGUGUAGUUUAUAAAUAAGAAGAGGUGGGUUACAAUAAAAUUAUUUAAAUGGACAAUUAUUUGAAAAAUUAAUUUAAAAGUGGAUUUGACAGUAAUUUUAAUUAAAUUAUUAUUAUGAUUUUAGCUCUAAAAUAUGUACAUAUCGCCCGUCAUUUUCAUUAUAAAAUGAAACAAGUCGUAACAUAGUAGGCGUACUGGAAAGUGUGCCUAGAACGUCAAAUUAGAGCUUGUUAAAAGCAUUUUAGUUACAUUAAAAAGUUUAUUGUGAAAUUCAAUAUAAUUUGAAUUUUUAUAAUUAUUUAAAUUAUAAUUUUUAUUUAAUUUUAAUAAAAUAAUUUGUAUUUUUAUUAUUAUAUAGAAAAAAUUUUUUUAAUAAUAGUAAAUUAGUAUUGUGAAAGAAAUUAUUUAAAUUUUAAAAAGAAUAAUUAAUUUUUAGUACCUUGUGUAUCAGGGUUUAUUAAAUAAUAAUUAAAUAUUUUAAUUUUCUCGAAUUUAAAAGAGCUAUAAAAUUAUAUUUUUUAUUGUAUUAUAAAUAUUAUUAAUAUUUUUAUAGAAAUGAAAUGUUAUUCGUUUUUGAAUAUAUCUAGUUUUUUAAGAAAUAAAUUAAAUUUAUUUAAUAUAAAUAUUAAUUUAAAUAUUUAAAUUAGUAUUAAUAUUAGUAAAUAUUUUAAGGGAUGAGCUUUAAAAUAUAAUUUUAUAAAUAAAUAUAUUAUUUGAUUAAAUAGGAUUAUAAAUUUUCAAUUUUAAUAGUAUGUUAUAAUUAUUUCAAAUUUUUUAUAAUUUAUAUUUAUUUUAAUUUUUUUAUUAAAAUAUUAAUUUUAAUUUUUUAUAUUAAGAAAUAAUGAUAAAAUUAGUAUAAUAUUUUGUAUAAUAAUUAUAUUAUUAGGUUAAAUAAAGGAAUUCGGCAAAUUAUUUUUCACCUGUUUAAUAAAAACAUGGCCUUUCGAUUAUAAUUUAAGGUUUAACCUGCCCAAUGAAAAUUUAAAUGGCCGCGGUAUUUUGACCGUGCAAAGGUAGCAUAAUCAUUUGUUUUUUAAUUGAAAGCUGGAAUGAAAGGUUGGAUGAGAAAAUAACUGUCUCUAUUUAAUUUUUUUAGAAUUUUAUUUUUAAGUUAAAAAGCUUAAAUAAAUUUUGAAGACGAGAAGACCCUAUAGAGUUUAAUAUAUUUAGUAUUUAAAUAAUUUAGUAAUAAUUUUUUUAAAUUAAAAAUUUAUUUGAUUGGGGUGAUUAAAAAAUUAAAUUAACUUUUUUUGUAUUUUAUCAUUGAUUUAUGAAUAAUUGAUCCUUUAAAAGAUUAAAAGAUAAAAUUACCUUAGGGAUAACAGCGUAAUUUUUUUUUAGAGUUCAAAUCGAAAGAAAAGAUUGCGACCUCGAUGUUGGAUUAAAAUUAAUUUUUGGUGUAGAGGCUAAAUAAAUUGGGUCUGUUCGACCUUUAAAAUUUUACUUGAUCUGAGUUCAAACCGGUGUGAGCCAGGUUGGUUUCUAUCUCGAAAUAGAUAAAAUAUUUUAGUACGAAAGGAUCAAAUAUUUAAUUUAAAAUUUUUAUUAUUGAAUAUUAAUAAAUUGUUAUUUUGGCAGAUUAGUGCUAUAGAAUUAGAAUCUUUAUAUGUAAAAUUUUUACAAAUAAUACUUGAAAUUAUAUGAUUUAUUUUUAAUAUUAAUUUCUAGAUUAAUUUUAUCUAUUUGUGUGAUAAUUAGAGUAGCUUUUUUGACUUUAUUAGAGCGUAAAUUAUUAGGAUAUAUUCAAAUUC
This 1888-nucleotide ribosomal RNA is filed under the name Hemitrichapion wagneri gomerense. RNAcentral describes it as "partial 16S ribosomal RNA". Lineage: Eukaryota; Metazoa; Arthropoda; Insecta; Coleoptera; Brentidae. The record is from RNAcentral.